UCUAUGUGCCCCUCCCCCCCGCACGCACCCCGAGAGCAUUGUGGGAGGUUCCUUGAGGAAGGUCUUCUUCCGCUUCCUGUUUCCCUUCUUCCUUUCACGUGGCUUUCACGAUGAGGAAGAUAAGUAAAUUUAUCGGGCGAUUCGGCCAUGCCUAUGACCAGGAACAGAAGGGAAGCGAACUGAGGUUGUGUUCUGUAGGCGGCGAAUAGGCUCCGACUCGUAUGCGGCUUGAUGGCUGUAGCGUCAAGUCCAGGGAAAUGUGAAAUACUGUACCCAGAAGCCUGUGUUGGAAGAGUGCACAACCAUGGAAGUACAUCCUUAAAAAUAGUGAGAUAACCAAAAGCAUGGCUUUUGUUAUUAAAGCAUAAGCCAUCAAGUUUAUUUGGAAAAGUUGUUACGAGACCUUACUGCUUGAAGGGGAGAAAACUAUGCACUAGAUCAACUCUGCAUGCUAAGUGGAUGAGACACCAAACCACACUGGAUUAAGAGUCCCUACUGAUUUUGUAGUCUUGGAUUACUAUGAAGGGGAAAGUGCCUAAGCAACUGCUUUUCAAGUGUUCAGCAGGAGAGUGGAUCCAUAAAUUUGGAGAGCUAUUGUUAACUUUCGUCUCAAGUAUUAAUAAAAUGUUUGCGUAAAAGCUGAA
Long non-coding RNA from Podarcis muralis (Common wall lizard), 644 nucleotides. RefSeq lists it as uncharacterized. Lineage: Eukaryota; Metazoa; Chordata; Lepidosauria; Squamata; Lacertidae. The record is from RefSeq and is a predicted model, not a curated record.